AUGGCGGACGCGCCGGUGGAGCUGCCGGGCCGGCUCGCCAUACUGCCGUUCCGCAACAAGGUGCUCCUCCCGGGCGCCAUCGUGCGGAUCCGAUGCACCAACCCCAGCAGUGUAAAGCUGGUGGAGCAGGAGCUCUGGCAGAGGGAGGACAAGGGUCUGAUCGGAGUGCUUCCGGUGCGGGACUCCGAGGCUGCGGCUGUUGGUUCCAUCCUGUCGCCUGGCGUGGGCAGUGAUUCAGGUGAAGGAGGCCGCAGGUCGCCUGGUGGUUCUGGGGGAGAGUCGACCAAACAGGAUGCAAAGAGUGGGAAGGAGCCCAUUCACUGGCACAGCCGGGGAGUUGCUGCUAGAGCUCUGCACCUUUCAAGAGGGGUGGAGAAACCAAGUGGAAGGGUUACAUACAUUGUUGUUCUCGAAGGCUUAUGUAGGUUCAGUGUUGAAGAACUCAAUGCAAGAGGAUCGUAUCAUGUUGCCCGUGUUUCACGACUUGACAUGACAAAGACUGAGUUGGAGCAGGCAGAGCAAGACCCAGAUCUAAUUGCUCUUUCGAGGCAAUUUAAAGCAACUGCCAUGGAACUAAUUUCCGUCUUAGAGCAGAAGCAGAAGACGGUUGGUAGGACUAAGGUGCUACUUGAGACAGUUCCUGUAUACAGGCUAGCUGAUAUUUUUGUUGCUAGCUUUGAAAUAAGCUUUGAGGAGCAGCUUGCUAUGCUGGAUUCAGUUGACUUGAAAGUGAGACUUUCCAAGGCAACAGAACUUGUAGACAGGCACCUGCAGUCAAUUCUUGUAGCGGAGAAAAUAACACAGAAGGUGGAGGGGCAGCUAUCAAAAUCCCAAAAAGAAUUUCUGCUGCGCCAGCAGAUGAGGGCUAUCAAAGACGAACUUGGUGAUAAUGAUGAUGAUGAAGAUGACAUUGCUGCAUUGGAAAGGAAGAUGCAGAAUGCAGGAAUGCCAGCUAAUAUUUGGAAGCAUGCCCAAAGGGAGUUGAGGCGUUUGAGGAAGAUGCAACCUCAGCAACCUGGAUAUAGUAGCUCUCGAGCUUAUUUGGAACUUAUUGCGGACCUUCCUUGGCAAAAAGUAAGUGAAGAAAGGGAACUUGACCUUAGAGCUGCAAAGGAGAGUCUUGAUCGUGAUCAUUACGGGCUGACCAAAGUUAAGCAAAGGAUUAUUGAGUAUUUGGCUGUCCGUAAGCUCAAACCGGAUGCCAGAGGUCCAGUGCUGUGUUUUGUGGGGCCACCUGGUGUUGGAAAGACAUCUUUGGCUACAUCCAUAGCAAAGGCCCUAAAUAGGAAGUUCAUAAGAAUCUCUCUUGGUGGUGUAAAGGAUGAGGCUGAUAUUAGGGGCCAUCGAAGAACAUACAUUGGAAGCAUGCCAGGGCGCCUCAUUGAUGGACUAAAGAGGGUAUCUGUCAACAACCCAGUGAUGCUCCUUGACGAAAUUGACAAGACUGGUUCUGAUGUACGUGGGGAUCCAGCAUCAGCACUGCUAGAAGUACUUGACCCUGAGCAGAACAAAACAUUCAAUGACCACUAUUUGAAUGUUCCAUUUGACCUGUCGAAGGUUGUAUUUGUUGCAACUGCCAACAGGAUGCAACCUAUCCCCCCUGCCCUGUUAGAUAGGAUGGAAGUCAUUGAGUUACCAGGCUACACGCCUGAAGAAAAGCUGAAAAUAGCCAUGAAACAUCUCCUACCAAGGGUAUUGGAACAGCAUGGUUUGAGCUCCGCAUAUCUUCAGAUUCCUGAGGCUGUAGUCAAACUUAUCAUCGAGAGAUACACACGGGAAGCUGGUGUGCGUAAUCUUGAAAGAAACCUAGCUGCAUUGGCUCGUGCAGCUGCUGUCAAGGUUGCAGAGCUAGAUAGUACGCUUAGACUUGGCAAGGAAAUGCAGCCAAUAACUACAACUCUACUGGACUCAAGGCUCGCCGAUGGUGGUGAAGUUGAAAUGGAAGUUAUUCCUAUGGGCCAGGACAUAUCAAAUACAUAUGAAAACCCAUCGCCUAUGAUUGUUGAUGAGGCUAUGCUAGAAAAAGUGCUUGGGCCUCCUAGAUUUGAUGACAGAGAGGCUGCGGAUCGGGUGUCAUCCCCAGGAGUGUCAGUUGGGCUUGUCUGGACUUCUUUUGGUGGGGAAGUUCAGUUUGUAGAGGCUACGGCCAUGGCGGGUAAGGGUGACUUGCAUCUGACAGGACAACUUGGUGAUGUAAUUAAGGAAUCAGCACAGUUAGCUCUGACAUGGGUGAGAGCAAGAUCUGCUGACCUCAAUCUGUCACCUACUUCUGAUAUUAACAUAUUGGAGAGCCGUGAUAUUCACAUACAUUUUCCUGCUGGUGCUGUGCCGAAGGAUGGUCCUUCUGCAGGAGUCACAUUGGUAACAUCACUAGUGUCAUUGUUUAGUAACCGGAAAGUCAGAGCAGACACCGCAAUGACCGGAGAGAUGACUCUUAGGGGCCUAGUGUUGCCAGUUGGUGGUGUUAAGGAUAAGGUGCUUGCUGCACAUCGAUAUGGCAUCAAGAGAGUAAUAUUACCAGAAAGAAACUUGAAGGACUUGGCUGAGAUUCCAGCUCCGAUCCUCGCUGGCAUUGAGAUUCUGCUCGUGAAGCGCAUUGAGGAAGUACUUGGCCAUGCUUUUGAGAAUGGAUUCCCUUUGAGGCUACACUCCAGUCUAUAG
RNAcentral lists this ribosomal RNA (2661 nucleotides) under Triticum aestivum (bread wheat). Its description in RNAcentral is "partial small subunit ribosomal RNA". The record is from RNAcentral. Lineage: Eukaryota; Viridiplantae; Streptophyta; Magnoliopsida; Poales; Poaceae.